UUAGGAAUUUUGCACAAUGGGGGAAACCCUGAUGCAGCAACGCCGCGUGGAUGAAGAAGGCCUUCGGGUCGUAAAAUCCUUUUCAACGGGAAGAAACGGACGGUACCGUUGGAAUAAGCAUCGGCUAACUACGUGCCAGCAGCCGCGGUAAUACGUAGGAUGCAAGCGUUAUCCGGAUUUACUGGGCGUAAAGAGCGCGUAGGUGGUUUCGUAAGUUGGGCGUGAAAGCCCCCGGCUUAACUGGGGAGGGUCGCUCAAAACUACGAGACUUGAGGGUGGAAGAGGAGACUGGAAUUCCCGGUGUAGUGGUGAAAUGCGUAGAUAUCGGGAGGAACACCUGUGGUGAAGACGGGUCUCUGGGCCACUCCUGACACUGAGGCGCGAAAGCGUGGGGAGCGAACGG
RNAcentral lists this ribosomal RNA (403 nucleotides) under uncultured bacterium. Its description in RNAcentral is "bacterial SSU rRNA". It matches the Rfam family "Bacterial small subunit ribosomal RNA", at positions 355 to 775 of the family's 1533-position model. The record is from RNAcentral.